CCUACGGGAGGCAGCAGUGAGGAAUAUUGGUCAAUGGCCGGAAGGCUGAACCAGCCAUGCCGCGUGAAGGUCAGUGCCCUAUGGGCGUUAAACUUCUUUUGUGCGGGAGCAAUAAUGGUCACGUGUGGCCAGACGAGAGUACCGUACGAAUAAGCAUCGGCUAACUCCGUGCCAGCAGCCGCGGUAAUACGGGGGAUGCAAGCGUUAUCCGGAUUUAUUGGGUUUAAAGGGUGCGUAGGCUGUGAGGUAAGUCAGCGGUGAAAUGCCCCCGCUCACCGGGGUGAAGUGCCAUUGAUACUGCCUGGCUGGAAUGCGGAUGCCGUGGGAGGAAUGUGUGGUGUAGCGGUGAAAUGCAUAGAUAUCACACAGAACACCGAUUGCGAAGGCAUCUCACGAAUCCGCGAUUGACGCUGAUGCACGAAAGCGUGGGUAUCAAACAGGAUUAGAUACCCUUGUAGUC
Molecule: ribosomal RNA, 460 nt
Filed under: uncultured bacterium
Lineage: Bacteria
Description: partial 16S ribosomal RNA
Rfam family: Bacterial small subunit ribosomal RNA
Source: RNAcentral